RNAcentral lists this ribosomal RNA (301 nucleotides) under uncultured bacterium. RNAcentral describes it as "partial 16S ribosomal RNA". It matches the Rfam family "Bacterial small subunit ribosomal RNA", at positions 509 to 807 of the family's 1533-position model. The record is from RNAcentral.
CAGUCGCCGCGGGAAUACGAAGGGGGCUAGCGUUGUUCGGAAUUACUGGGCGUAAAGCGCACGUAGGCGGAUAUUUAAGUCAGGGGUGAAAUCCCAGAGCUCAACUCUGGAACUGCCUUUGAUACUGGGUAUCUUGAGUAUGGAAGAGGUUAGUGGAAUUGCGAGUGUAGAGGUGAAAUUCGUAGAUAUUCGGAGGAACACCAGUGGCGAAGGCGGCUCACUGGUCCAUUACUGACGCUGGGGUGCGAAAGCGUGGGGAGCAAACAGGAUUAGAUACCCGCGUAGUCCCUGUCUCUUAUAC